Molecule: ribosomal RNA, 793 nt
Filed under: uncultured archaeon
Lineage: Archaea
Description: bacterial SSU rRNA
Rfam family: Archaeal small subunit ribosomal RNA
Source: RNAcentral
ACGGCUCAGUAACACGUAGUCAAUCUACCCUAUGGACGGGAAUAACCUCGGGAAACUGAGAAUAAUGCCCGAUAGAACAUUAUGCCUGGAAUGGUUUAUGUUUCAAAUGAUUUAUCGCCAUAGGAUGGGACUGCGGCCUAUCAGUUUGUUGGUGAGGUAAUGGCCCACCAAGACUAUUACAGGUACGGGCUCUGAGAGGAGUAGCCCGGAGAUGGGUACUGAGACACGGACCCAGGCCCUAUGGGGCGCAGCAGGCGAGAAAACUUUGCAAUGUGCGAAAGCACGACAAGGUUAAUCCGAGUGGUUUCUGCUAAAGAAACCUUUUGUCAGUCCUAGAAACACUAACGAAUAAGGGGUGGGCAAGUUCUGGUGUCAGCCGCCGCGGUAAAACCAGCACCUCAAGUGGUCAGGAUGAUUAUUGGGCCUAAAGCAUCCGUAGCCCGUUUUGUAAGUUUUCGGUUAAAUCCAUGCGCUUAACGUAUGGGCUGCCGGGAAUACUGCAUAACUAGGAAGUGGGAGAGGUAGACGGUACUCGGUAGGAAGGGGUAAAAUCCUUUGAUCUAUUGAUGACCACCUGUGGCGAAGGCGGUCUACCAGAACACGUUCGACGGUGAGGGAUGAAAGCUGGGGGAGCAAACCGGAUUAGAUACCCGGGUAGUCCCAGCUGUAAACUAUGCAAACUCAGUGAUGCAUUGGCUUAUGGCCAAUGCAGUGCUGCAGGGAAGCCGUUAAGUUUGCCGCCUGGGAAGUACGUACGCAAGUAUGAAACUUAAAGGAAUUGGCGGGGGAGCAC